This 497-nucleotide ribosomal RNA is filed under the name uncultured bacterium. RNAcentral describes it as "partial 16S ribosomal RNA". It matches the Rfam family "Bacterial small subunit ribosomal RNA", at positions 28 to 507 of the family's 1533-position model. The record is from RNAcentral.
GAUGAACGCUGGCGGCGUGCCUAAUACAUGCAAGUCGAGCGAACAGACGAGGAGCUUGCUCCUCUGACGUUAGCGGCGGACGGGUGAGUAACACGUGGAUAACCUACCUAUAAGACUGGGAUAACUUCGGGAAACCGGAGCUAAUACCGGAUAAUAUAUUGAACCGCAUGGUUCAAUAGUGAAAGACGGUUUUGCUGUCACUUAUAGAUGGAUCCGCGCCGCAUUAGCUAGUUGGUAAGGUAACGGCUUACCAAGGCAACGAUGCGUAGCCGACCUGCGAGGGUGAUCGGCCACACUGGAACUGAGACACGGUCCAGACUCCUACGGGAGGCAGCAGUAGGGAAUCUUCCGCAAAGGGCGAAAGCCUGACGGAGCAACGCCGCGUGAGUGAUGAAGGUCUUCGGAUCGUAAAACUCUGUUAUUAGGGAAGAACAAAUGUGUAAGUAACUAUGCACGUCUUGACGGUACCUAAUCAGAAAGCCACGGCUAACUACGUG